UGGGGAAUAUUGCACAAUGGGGGAAACCCUGAUGCAGCGAUGCCGCGUGAACGAAGAAGGUAUUCGUAUCGUAAAGUUCUGUCCUAUGGGAAGAUAAUGACAGUACCAUAGAAGAAAGCUCCGGCUAAAUACGUGCCAGCAGCCGCGGUAAUACGUAUGGAGCGAGCGUUGUCCGGAAUUAUUGGGCGUAAAGGGUACGCAGGCGGUUUAAUAAGUCGAAUGUUAAAGAUCGGGGCUCAACCCCGCAAAGCAUUGGAAACUGAUAAACUUGAGUAGUGGAGAGGAAAGUGGAAUUCCUAGUGUAGUGGUGAAAUACGUAGAUAUUAGGAGGAAUACCAGUAGCGAAGGCGACUUUCUGGACACAAACUGACGCUGAGGUACGAAAGCGUGGGGAGCAAACAGG
This 403-nucleotide ribosomal RNA is filed under the name bacterium. RNAcentral describes it as "partial 16S ribosomal RNA". It matches the Rfam family "Bacterial small subunit ribosomal RNA", at positions 355 to 776 of the family's 1533-position model. The record is from RNAcentral.